This 490-nucleotide ribosomal RNA is filed under the name uncultured bacterium. RNAcentral's name for it is "partial 16S ribosomal RNA". It matches the Rfam family "Bacterial small subunit ribosomal RNA", at positions 30 to 507 of the family's 1533-position model. The record is from RNAcentral.
AUUGAACGCUGGCGGCAGGCCUAACACAUGCAAGUCGAACGGUAACAGGAAGCAGCUUGCUGCUUCGCUGACGAGUGGCGGACGGGUGAGUAAUGUCUGGGAAGCUGCCUGAUGGAGGGGGAUAACUACUGGAAACGUUAGCUAAUACCGCAUAAUGUCGCAAGACCAAAGAGGGGGACCUUCGGGCCUCUUGCCAUCGGAUGUGCCCAGAUGGGAUUAGCUUGUUGGUGGGGUAACGGCUCACCAAGGCGACGAUCCCUAGCUGGUCUGAGAGGAUGAACAGCCACACUGGAACUGAGACACGGUCCAGACUCCUACGGGAGGCAGCAGUGGGGAAUAUUGCACAAUGGGCGCAAGCCUGAUGCAGCCAUGCCGCGUGAAUGAAGAAGGCCUUCGGGUUGUAAAGUACUUUCAGCGGGGAGGAAGGGAGUAAAGUUAAUACCUUUGCUCAUUGACGUUACCCACAGAGGAAGCACCGGCUAACUCCGUG